This 182-nucleotide ribosomal RNA is filed under the name uncultured bacterium. RNAcentral describes it as "partial 16S ribosomal RNA". It matches the Rfam family "Bacterial small subunit ribosomal RNA", at positions 1319 to 1500 of the family's 1533-position model. The record is from RNAcentral.
CAUGAAGUUGGAAUUGCUAGUAAUCGCGAAUCAGAAUGUCGCGGUGAAUACGUUCCCGGGCCUUGUACACACCGCCCGUCACACCAUGAGAGUCGAUAACACCCGAAGCCUGUGAGCUAACCGCAAGGAGGCAGCAGUCGAAGGUGGGGUUGAUGAUUGGGGUGAAGUCGUAACAAGGUAAC